This 480-nucleotide ribosomal RNA is filed under the name uncultured bacterium. Its description in RNAcentral is "bacterial SSU rRNA". It matches the Rfam family "Bacterial small subunit ribosomal RNA", at positions 903 to 1397 of the family's 1533-position model. The record is from RNAcentral.
AAAUGAAUAGACGGGGACCCACACAAGCGGUGGAGCAUGGGGUUUAAUUCGAUAGUAAGCGGAGAACCUCACCUAGGCUUGACAUCUAGCGAACCUCCCAGAAACGGGAGGGUGCCGCAAGGAACGCUAAGACAGGCGCUGCACGGUUGUCGUCAGCUCGUGCCUUGAGGUGUACUGUUAAGUCAGCGAACGAGCGCAACCCUCAUCCUGUGUUGUUUUUUCACAGGAGACUGCCGCCUCCAAGGCGGAGGAAGGUGGGGAUGACGUCAAAUCAGCGUGGCCCUUAUGCCUAGGGCAACACCCGUGCUACAAUGGCCGAUACAAACCGUUGCAAACCCGCAAGGGGGAGCCAAUCGGAAAAAGUCGGUCUCAGUUCGGAUUGAAGUCUGCAACUCGACUUCAUGAAGUUGGAAUCGCUAGUAACCGUGAAUCAGCUACGUCACGGUGAAUAUGUUCCUGGGUCUUGUACACACCGCCCGU